This 64-nucleotide transfer RNA is filed under the name Ixodes persulcatus (taiga tick). RNAcentral describes it as "tRNA-Val". Lineage: Eukaryota; Metazoa; Arthropoda; Arachnida; Ixodida; Ixodidae. The record is from RNAcentral.
UAAAAUGAAAUCCAUUGAUGUUUCAUUUACAAUGAAAAUUUUGUUAUAUUUUUAACCAUUUUAU